This 400-nucleotide ribosomal RNA is filed under the name Williamsia sp. 55B(2010). RNAcentral describes it as "bacterial SSU rRNA". It matches the Rfam family "Bacterial small subunit ribosomal RNA", at positions 272 to 684 of the family's 1533-position model. The record is from RNAcentral. Lineage: Bacteria; Bacillati; Actinomycetota; Actinomycetes; Mycobacteriales; Nocardiaceae.
GGCGACGACGGGUAGCCGGCCUGAGAGGGCGACCGGCCACACUGGGACUGAGACACGGCCCAGACUCCUACGGGAGGCAGCAGUGGGGAAUAUUGCACAAUGGGCGCAAGCCUGAUGCAGCGACGCCGCGUGAGGGAUGACGGCCUUCGGGUUGUAAACCUCUUUCACCAGGGACGAAGCGAAAGUGACGGUACCUGGAGAAGAAGCACCGGCCAACUACGUGCCAGCAGCCGCGGUAAUACGUAGGGUGCGAGCGUUGUCCGGAAUUACUGGGCGUAAAGAGCUCGUAGGCGGUUUGUCGCGUCGUUCGUGAAAACUUGGGGCUUAACUCCAAGCGUGCGGGCGAUACGGGCAGACUUGAGUACUACAGGGGAGACUGGAAUUCCUGGUGUAGCGGUGA